RNAcentral lists this ribosomal RNA (1417 nucleotides) under Enterobacter hormaechei. RNAcentral describes it as "partial 23S ribosomal RNA". It matches the Rfam family "Bacterial large subunit ribosomal RNA", at positions 1550 to 2925 of the family's 2925-position model. Lineage: Bacteria; Pseudomonadati; Pseudomonadota; Gammaproteobacteria; Enterobacterales; Enterobacteriaceae. The record is from RNAcentral.
UUAACGCUGAGGUGUGAUGACGAGGCACUACGGUGCUGAAGUGAUAAAUGCCCUGCUUCCAGGAAAAGCCUCUAAGCAUCAGGUAACACGAAAUCGUACCCCAAACCGACACAGGUGGUCAGGUAGAGAAUACCAAGGCGCUUGAGAGAACUCGGGUGAAGGAACUAGGCAAAAUGGUGCCGUAACUUCGGGAGAAGGCACGCUGAUGUGUAGGUGAAGUCCCUGCGGACGGAGCUGAAAUCAGUCGAAGAUACCAGCUGGCUGCAACUGUUUAUUAAAAACACAGCACUGUGCAAACACGAAAGUGGACGUAUACGGUGUGACGCCUGCCCGGUGCCGGAAGGUUAAUUGAUGGGGUUAGCGGCAACGCGAAGCUCUUGAUCGAAGCCCCGGUAAACGGCGGCCGUAACUAUAACGGUCCUAAGGUAGCGAAAUUCCUUGUCGGGUAAGUUCCGACCUGCACGAAUGGCGUAAUGAUGGCCAGGCUGUCUCCACCCGAGACUCAGUGAAAUUGAACUCGCUGUGAAGAUGCAGUGUACCCGCGGCAAGACGGAAAGACCCCGUGAACCUUUACUAUAGCUUGACACUGAACACUGGUCCUUGAUGUGUAGGAUAGGUGGGAGGCUUUGAAGCGUGGACGCCAGUCUGCGUGGAGCCAACCUUGAAAUACCACCCUUUAAUGGCUGGUGUUCUAACGUAGACCCGUAAUCCGGGUUGCGGACAGUGUCUGGUGGGUAGUUUGACUGGGGCGGUCUCCUCCCAAAGAGUAACGGAGGAGCACGAAGGUUGGCUAAUCCUGGUCGGACAUCAGGAGGUUAGUGCAAUGGCAUAAGCCAGCUUGACUGCGAGCGUGACGGCGCGAGCAGGUGCGAAAGCAGGUCAUAGUGAUCCGGUGGUUCUGAAUGGAAGGGCCAUCGCUCAACGGAUAAAAGGUACUCCGGGGAUAACAGGCUGAUACCGCCCAAGAGUUCAUAUCGACGGCGGUGUUUGGCACCUCGAUGUCGGCUCAUCACAUCCUGGGGCUGAAGUAGGUCCCAAGGGUAUGGCUGUUCGCCAUUUAAAGUGGUACGCGAGCUGGGUUUAGAACGUCGUGAGACAGUUCGGUCCCUAUCUGCCGUGGGCGCUGGAGAAUUGAGGGGGGCUGCUCCUAGUACGAGAGGACCGGAGUGGACGCAUCACUGGUGUUCGGGUUGUCAUGCCAAUGGCACUGCCCGGUAGCUAAAUGCGGAAGAGAUAAGUGCUGAAAGCAUCUAAGCACGAAACUUGCCCCGAGAUGAGUUCUCCCUGAGACCUUGAGUCUCCUGAAGGAACGUUGAAGACGACGACGUUGAUAGGUCGGGUGUGUAAGCGCAGCGAUGCGUUGAGCUAACCGAUACUAAUGAACCGUGAGGCUUAACCUUACAACGCCGAAGCUGUU